UUUCAUGGAGAGUUUGAUCCUGGCUCAGGACGAACGCUGGCGGCGUGCCUAAUACAUGCAAGUCGAACGGACUUUCAA
RNAcentral lists this ribosomal RNA (78 nucleotides) under Cohnella nanjingensis. Its description in RNAcentral is "partial 16S ribosomal RNA". It matches the Rfam family "Bacterial small subunit ribosomal RNA", at positions 1 to 77 of the family's 1533-position model. The record is from RNAcentral. Lineage: Bacteria; Bacillati; Bacillota; Bacilli; Caryophanales; Paenibacillaceae.